Molecule: ribosomal RNA, 496 nt
Filed under: uncultured bacterium
Lineage: Bacteria
Description: partial 16S ribosomal RNA
Rfam family: Bacterial small subunit ribosomal RNA
Source: RNAcentral
AUGAACGCUGGCGGCGUGCCUAAUACAUGCAAGUCGAGCGAACAGACGAGGAGCUUGCUCCUCUGACGUUAGCGGCGGACGGGUGAGUAACACGUGGAUAACCUACCUAUAAGACUGGGAUAACUUCGGGAAACCGGAGCUAAUACCGGAUAAUAUAUUGAACCGCAUGGUUCAAUAGUGAAAGACGGUUUUGCUGUCACUUAUAGAUGGAUCCGCGCCGCAUUAGCUAGUUGGUAAGGUAACGGCUUACCAAGGCGACGAUGCGUAGCCGACCUGAGAGGGUGAGCGGCCACACUGGAACUGAGACACGGUCCAGACUCCAACGGGAGGCAGCAGUAGGGAAUCUUGCGCAAUGGGCGAAAGCAUGACGGAGCAACGCCGCGUGAGUGAUGAAAGUCUUCGGAUCGUAAAACUCUGUUAUUAGGGAAGAACAAAUGUGUAAGUAACUAUGCACGUCUUGACGGUACCUAAUCAGAAAGCCACGGCUAACUACGUG